UGGUUUUCUAUCCAAGACUUGCAACUAUCUCAUUCUUUUCAGGCGGCAACUCGGAGCUGUGAGGACAUGUAUUCGAUUAACUGCUGCUCGCUUUACCAGCUUUCUUCGACGGACAGUGCGGUAAGAGGCAGAAGAAAACCAAGAACAAACAUAUCGCCUCUUCUUUUUAUUAUCCAUUGCAGUUGUUAUACGAACAAGUGGCUGUCGGUUGAAUUUUACACACAUCCGCGAUCACUUGUUGUAUGAAGGCAAACGCGUGGAACUUUCGUCUGGUUUUAAAUUUUAAAAUGAAGAAAGAAACGAAUGGAAUUGCAUACAGGACACAGUCAAGAAAUUUGGGUACAUUACAUAGAAAAUUAGUUGGAUUUAUUCGUCCGUACUUAUAUUUAUUGUAUAACAUUGAGAGAGACGAAGAUUUGCAGUGAUCAAGCUCAGCAUCGUCAGAAAGGAGGAAGACAUCACAAAUAUGGCGCUAUGACCUUCAUUUGUCAUUGACUUCUUCCGUCGUAAGAUUUCUAAUUUUAAUCACUGCUUUAUUAUCCAUAAAUAGUAUAUACUUAAUUAUAUAGCAUUUUGCUAAUUAAUUUUUUUAGAGGCUUUUUAAAAGUUUUUAGCGUUUCUCUAAUUUUUGCAAUUUUUCGAUAGAGAAAAAAUGUAAUUUUUCGUACAAAAAAUAUACAUUUUUUUAUCGAUUUCAGAGAUAUAUAAUUAUAUAUAAAAAAAUUAAAUCAGUAAGCCAUACAUUUCGUAUAUAUCAUUACUAUAUUAUUUAAAGCGAAAAAGGUCCAAAAUUAGUUCUAAAUCUAUUAAUGAAUUCCUUAUCCUGCUGGUGGGGAAGGCAUGAACAUCACAGCAUCACAUUUUACAUGCGUUAUUAGUAAAUGUUUGGUUAUUGAUAGUUCUCAUGAAAUUAUAUAACAAUACAGUAUUUUCUCUGAUUGUAAAUAGACGUUUUAAUUUAAGAAUUGCGCAUGUGAGUGUGUGUAAUAUGUACAUAUAAGCGUAUGUUCAUUUUGUACCUUUAAAUGCAUAUUUCUGUAUAUCGGUGUGUAUAUAUAUGUGUACGUAUGUUUAUUUGGUUAAAUAUGUGUGUUUAUAUCUAAUUGGUAUUAACUCGUUAAUUAUUGUAUUAGUCUACUGUUAUAUAUGAAUGUGUUGGUAAUUAGGUAUAUAUAAGUAUCUGUUUGUAAUAUUUCAAUGAAUGGUCGUAGUUUUGAAAUCGCGAUCGUAGAAUCGGGCGUUCGAUUCCUGAGCAAAGCGUUGUCCUUGAUCAAAACUCUUUAUUUCUUGUGGAUCCUGUCUUGGUCACUU
Molecule: long non-coding RNA, 1311 nt
Organism: Octopus sinensis (East Asian common octopus)
Lineage: Eukaryota; Metazoa; Mollusca; Cephalopoda; Octopoda; Octopodidae
Exons: 2
Source: RefSeq, a predicted model, not a curated record